GUGGCCUAAGCUGCACCUUGGGUCUCAGAAAGGCACCGGCACCGGGCCGGUGUGUAUCACACUACACAACACUCAGCGGGCUGCUUUACCAGGAAAAAGGUUACAAGAAAUGAAAUACAGACAUCGGAGCAGCCCGCGCCCCUUACAAGCAGACACGCGGUUUCCAGCCCACGUGACGCUCGCCGGCUGUGGUCCCAAGCUGCUCAGGGUGACGAGCCCAGCUCUGAGCAAACAAGCACAUAAAUGUGAGGGAAGCUGCUGACAUAUUUCUUGGCUACCGGAUCAAAUUAUAUAAUGGCGCUAGAUCUCUCCCGCCGCCCCAGCACACAUGAGACCGUCAGCACCCACACCCACCCGCUCACCUCCCCAGCGCUUGUGGCGCACAACUUGGCAUCAGGCUAUUAGAAAUCACAAUAAUUACUUGCUUUACAAUUGCUCCAAAUGAAAGAGAUCAUUAAAGUGCGCACAUGAAAAGAUGA
This is a long non-coding RNA of Chinchilla lanigera (long-tailed chinchilla), 479 nucleotides long. RefSeq lists it as uncharacterized. The transcript has 3 exons. NCBI's taxonomy places the organism in Eukaryota, Metazoa, Chordata, Mammalia, Rodentia, Chinchillidae. The record is from RefSeq and is a predicted model, not a curated record.